GGGUUUCUGUUGUAUUAAUUUUUGUAUUUUUAUAAAGUUUUUUCCUUUACAUCACAACUUUACUUUACAAUCAUAUGCAUAUGCAUAUAUGCUUUCUUCUCUCUCUACUUUCUCUCUCCUCAUUAGUACUUGUUUUUGUUUUCAGCUUAAUGCUUUUGACUCCAAAGUUGAAGAGAUUCCUUAGUCAGAUCCACAAGGAAAAACUUUUGUACAUUGUUGUCAUCAUCAACUAUUCAUCUUUUGUGUCUUUUGUUUUGUCACUUGGUUUUAUUUCUAUUAAUUCUUCAAGGUUGAAGCUUUUCAACAAUUCACUCAUGAUGUUUCACAACAUAACAUGUAAGUUUGGUUUUCUUUUUUGUGUGUUUUUGAAUGUGUCAAUGUUUUAAAUUUUUGGACUUUUUGUGAUGAUGGAAUUUGAUCAAUCAUUUAACUAAUUAACCAUCUUUGAAAUUGUCAAAAAAUGUGUAUGAUCCAACCAGACUCUCAUACCACUGUUGGGAUAUGAGGGGAGAAUCUCACUGGGUUGGAUCGACAUAUUGUACAUUGAACAACCACACAGGUGACUCUGACGAUUUUUGUGUUUUUAUAGGUGAUUUACAAGUUUUGGACUAAAAUUUCUUGAGAUGCAAGUUCUAUUGGCAUUGAAGUUGAGAUCAAAGUUUCUAUAUUGUAGA
This 674-nucleotide long non-coding RNA is filed under the name Trifolium pratense (red clover). Its description in RNAcentral is "long non-coding RNA (TPRA_LNC000339)". Lineage: Eukaryota; Viridiplantae; Streptophyta; Magnoliopsida; Fabales; Fabaceae. The record is from RNAcentral.